This 231-nucleotide ribosomal RNA is filed under the name uncultured Staphylococcus sp. RNAcentral's name for it is "partial 16S ribosomal RNA". It matches the Rfam family "Bacterial small subunit ribosomal RNA", at positions 109 to 334 of the family's 1533-position model. Lineage: Bacteria; Bacillati; Bacillota; Bacilli; Caryophanales; Staphylococcaceae. The record is from RNAcentral.
GGUAACACGUGGAUAACCUACCUAUAAGACUGGGAUAACUUCGGGAAACCGGAGCUAAUACCGGAUAAUAUUUUGAACCGCAUGGUUCAAAAGUGAAAGACGGUCUUGCUGUCACUUAUAGAUGGAUCCGCGCUGCAUUAGCUAGUUGGUAAGGUAACGGCUUACCAAGGCAACGAUGCAUAGCCGACCUGAGAGGGUGAUCGGCCACACUGGAACUGAGACACGGUCCAG